RNAcentral lists this ribosomal RNA (460 nucleotides) under uncultured bacterium. RNAcentral describes it as "partial 16S ribosomal RNA". It matches the Rfam family "Bacterial small subunit ribosomal RNA", at positions 338 to 795 of the family's 1533-position model. The record is from RNAcentral.
CCUACGGGAGGCAGCAGUGAGGAAUAUUGGUCAAUGGACGAGAGUCUGAACCAGCCAAGUAGCGUGAAGGAUGACUGCCCUAUGGGUUGUAAACUUCUUUUAUAAAGGAAUAAAACGCGGCACGUGUGCCUUUUUGCAUGUACUUUAUGAAUAAGGAUCGGCUAACUCCGUGCCAGCAGCCGCGGUAAUACGGAGGAUCCGAGCGUUAUCCGGAUUUAUUGGGUUUAAAGGGAGCGUAGAUGGGUUGUUAAGUCAGUUGUGAAAUUUUGCGGCUCAACCGUAAAAUUGCAAUUGAUACUGGCAGUCUAGAGGACAGUUGAGGUAGGCGGAAUUCGUGGUGUAGCGGUGAAAUUCUGAGAUAUCACGAAGAACCCCGAUUGCGAAGGCAGCUUACUAAGCUGUGACUGACAUUGAUGCUCGAAAGUGUGGGGAUCAAACAGGAUUAGAAACCCGAGUAGUC